CUCCUGGGGUGCAGAGAAUUUGUGACAGCCUAGAGAACAGAGGAAAUGGUUUUGAAAAGGCAAAUGGCAGUGCCUGAACCAUAAGGCACAAGGAAUGAGCCCCUCAUCGUGAGAGUGCAUGUGACAGGAGCAAAGGAAGCGGCAGCUCAGGAAAGACAAGGUCACUGUUCUUGCUCCCAUGACGGUAGCACUUGUUAGAGCAACUGAGUGACGUGCAUAAUUCUCUCCAAAGUAAAAGUCCUUUUUGUUUUUUGCAAUUUUA
Molecule: long non-coding RNA, 262 nt
Organism: Homo sapiens (human)
Lineage: Eukaryota; Metazoa; Chordata; Mammalia; Primates; Hominidae
Source: Ensembl